Molecule: ribosomal RNA, 497 nt
Filed under: uncultured bacterium
Lineage: Bacteria
Description: partial 16S ribosomal RNA
Rfam family: Bacterial small subunit ribosomal RNA
Source: RNAcentral
GACGAACGCUGGCGGCGUGCCUAAUACAUGCAAGUUGAGCGCUGAAGGUUGGUACUUGUACCAACUGGAUGAGCAGCGAACGGGUGAGUAACGCGUGGGGAAUCUGCCUUGGAGCGGGGGACAACAUUUGGAAACGAAUGCUAAUACCGCAUAAAAACUUUAAAAACAAGUUUUAAGUUUGAAAGAUGCAAUUGCAUCACUCAAAGAUGAUCCCGCGUUGUAUUAGCUAGUUGGUGAGGUAAAGGCUCACCCAGGCGAUGAUACAUAGCCGACCUGGGAGGGUGAACGGCCCAAAUGGGAAUGAGACAACGCCCAAAACCCUAAGGGAGGCAGCAGGAGGGAAUCUUCGGAAAAAGACGAAAGGCUGAACGAGCAAAGCCGCGUGAGUGAAGAAGGUUGUCGGAUCGUAAAACUCUGUUGGUAGAGAAGAAAGUUGGUGAGAGUGGAAAGCUAAUCAAGUGACGGUAACUUAACAGAAAGGGACGGCUAACUACGUG